CUGUCACAUUGCCCUCCUCACUGUUUUCAUACACACUACACAGGGUUCUACACCCCAGCUUUUCCACUGGCCUUACCUCUGUCUAGGAUACUUUUGAUAGGCAUAUCUCCUCUAGGCUGUUGCUCAAAUGUCACAAUCUUAGAACUUCCCUGACUACUCUUUCUAAAUAUCACCCCCUCUCUCUAUUUCAGUAUCCCGAUUUAAUUUUAAUCACGGCACUUACAAACACCUGAUACAUUACUUGUAUUUGGGGACCACAUGAUCCCAACAGAAUGUAAGCUCCAUGAGGAAAAGGUUGAUUUUCUCUGUCCUAACACACACAGUUGUGCUUGACACAUACUUUGGAGAGAAUGAAUGAAUGAUGGAAUGAACAAACAAAUUUAAAUUUGUUGAGAGAGGCAUAGCUAGACAGGCUGAGGAUUCUGCUAUGAAACAUAUUCAGGGAUGACAAGAUGGUGACAAAGCCAUGGUCUUUAUCUCACCUACGUGGUGGUGUCCUUGGGUUCCCUCGGCGUUGACCCCUUUCCUAACAGAAUGGAAGGUCCUGUUGUCUCUUCCACAUAUUACUCGCAGUGAGCGAAAGAGGGCUUUACCACACCAGGCCUGCAGAUUCCAGUCUGAAGCUUUAUCUAUCCUGCCCCUUGGGGGACUGCAGCUGGCUUUCCCCCAUGAGACCUAUUUUGUAUUGAACAGGAAAGCACAAACAAUCACAAUGCCCAGCAAAGAUAAAGUGUUUUCCAUGCUCUGUUACGACAGUGAUCCCCAUAGAGACGUUAUCUUCAGUUUACGGAGACUUUUUUCUGAGUCCCAAAUUGCAGGAAUCUGUGGGGUUUUCCCCCUAACCUUGCCCUUCCGGCCUUUGUGGAUCCUCCUGGAAUGGUCCACGGGCAUCUAUAUCUGCUGUUCCCCAAUCCCACCAGCAAGGGGCGCGCGAGAUGAAACAGUUCUGUCCUGGGAUGUACCACCGAGGGUAGCGGAAAGACCACCCACUCUGGAAGGUACCAUUGGGAGAGGGCGUGUGACAACAGAGAGGGUCCCCUUACACCGCGUCGGGCAUGGACCACAGUUCCCAGCAGCGGCACUCAUGGCGCCACUAGGUCCAUCCCCACUCGCUCCUCUUCGUCUUCCCACUGCUUUUGAAUCCGAGUGGACACAGGAGAAAUAUCAGUGGGCAAGUAGCAUCAACAUUGGGACCUAUAGAUCAGGAUCGCCCAAGCUGGAUGAACCUGUGGUUGACCAGCAGCCCAGUGUUGAGCAACCUCAACAAGAGGAACCACCAGCUGGGAUUCAGGAUAUCAUACCUGGGAAGGAGGAAGUAAAUGGAGAGGAUCCACUGAAUCAUAAUGAAGAGAAGGAAAAGGAUGCCUCUGGAGGUAAAGUGUAUGUGUGCAUCAUGUCUUAAGACAUAACCAGUAAGAGGAGGAAAGGAAACAUUAGAAAAGGACUUCAGACAGUUCCUAAAAAACUGAGCAGAGUAUAGUUUGCAGGUCAGUGUGGUCGCUCAAAUUUUCCUUUGUUUUCAAGACAAAGAGAGGGGGCAACUAAGUUGUCUGAGGACAACCCUGGGAAAAGAAAAUGGUAAUAACAUUCGGAAAAUUCUGCUUUCCUUUUUCUCCAGCAAAAUGUUCCUGGAAUAAUGCUCCUGAGGUUCUUAUUCAUCACAUUUUUACCAUAAUAGCCUAAGACUUUUAAGUCAUAAUGCUGAGGGAAUCAAUAUCAUCAUUCCCUACUGUAUGCUUUACAGCUGAAUUGAUACAUUUUUUUUAAAGAUUCUGACCUGGAAACUGAUCUCCAGGAAUUGGCUGAGGCAAAGACUGGGGGUAAAGGUGGAGAUGGUCAUGAUGUCAGGGAGGAGUUUGCAUCAAAUACAGAGCCUGUUGAAAUGCCAGAAGCAGGUAUGUCAUCCAUUCAGAAAGUAAUUUAUGUGGUUUCUGUUUUUCAGAAUAUUAUAUCUUUAACAAUAUAGAGGGAACAUUACUAUUAUUUUUAUAACAGAGUUCACAUAUUCUUUGAAAGAUAGUUCAGACCCCAGAUGCCUGAGUGCCUGACUUACAGACUUUCAAAUAAAGAAGCAGACAGGAUCA
RNAcentral lists this long non-coding RNA (2084 nucleotides) under Bos indicus x Bos taurus (hybrid cattle). RNAcentral's name for it is "lncRNA (ENSBIXG00000029114.1)". The record is from RNAcentral. Lineage: Eukaryota; Metazoa; Chordata; Mammalia; Artiodactyla; Bovidae.